This 626-nucleotide ribosomal RNA is filed under the name uncultured Lactobacillus sp. RNAcentral's name for it is "bacterial SSU rRNA". It matches the Rfam family "Bacterial small subunit ribosomal RNA", at positions 28 to 621 of the family's 1533-position model. Lineage: Bacteria; Bacillati; Bacillota; Bacilli; Lactobacillales; Lactobacillaceae. The record is from RNAcentral.
GACGAACGCUGGCGGCGUGCCUAAUACAUGCAAGUCGAGCGAGCGGAACCAACAGAUUUACUUCGGUAAUGACGUUGGGAAAGCGAGCGGCGGAUGGGUGAGUAACACGUGGGGAACCUGCCCCUAAGUCUGGGAUACCAUUUGGAAACAGGUGCUAAUACCGGAUAAUAAAGCAGAUCGCAUGAUCAGCUUUUGAAAGGCGGCGUAAGCUGUCGCUAAGGGAUGGCCCCGCGGUGCAUUAGCUAGUUGGUAAGGUAACGGCUUACCAAGGCGACGAUGCAUAGCCGAGUUGAGAGACUGAUCGGCCACAUUGGGACUGAGACACGGCCCAAACUCCUACGGGAGGCAGCAGUAGGGAAUCUUCCACAAUGGACGCAAGUCUGAUGGAGCAACGCCGCGUGAGUGAAGAAGGUUUUCGGAUCGUAAAGCUCUGUUGUUGGUGAAGAAGGAUAGAGGUAGUAACUGGCCUUUAUUUGACGGUAAUCAACCAGAAAGUCACGGCUAACUACGUGCCAGCAGCCGCGGUAAUACGUAGGUGGCAAGCGUUGUCCGGAUUUAUUGGGCGUAAAGCGAGCGCAGGCGGAAAAAUAAGUCUAAUGUGAAAGCCCUCGGCUUAACCGAGGAAU